GACGAACGCUGGCGGCGUGCCUAAUACAUGCAAGUAGAACGCUGAAGGAGGAGCUUGCUUCUCCGGAUGAGUUGCGAACGGGUGAGUAACGCGUAGGUAACCUGCCUGGUAGCGGGGGAUAACUAUUGGAAACGAUAGCUAAUACCGCAUAAGAGUAGAUGUUGCAUGACAUUUGCUUAAAAGGUGCAAUUGCAUCACUACCAGAUGGACCUGCGUUGUAUUAGCUAGUUGGUGGGGUAACGGCUCACCAAGGCGACGAUACAUAGCCGACCUGAGAGGGUGAUCGGCCACACUGGGACUGAGACACGGCCCAGACUCCUACGGGAGGCAGCAGUAGGGAAUCUUCGGCAAUGGACAGAAGUCUGACCGAGCAACGCCGCGUGAGUGAAGAAGGUUUUCGGAUCGUAAAGCUCUGUUGUAAGAGAAGAACGAGUGUGAGAGUGGAAAGUUCACACUGUGACGGUAUCUUACCAGAAAGGGACGGCUAACUACGUGC
RNAcentral lists this ribosomal RNA (496 nucleotides) under uncultured Streptococcus sp. RNAcentral describes it as "bacterial SSU rRNA". It matches the Rfam family "Bacterial small subunit ribosomal RNA", at positions 28 to 508 of the family's 1533-position model. Lineage: Bacteria; Bacillati; Bacillota; Bacilli; Lactobacillales; Streptococcaceae. The record is from RNAcentral.